UAAGGUUUCUCUGUUCUGCAGUUCUCCAUAGUGAAGCUCUUUAGAGGGAACAAUGUAUGUUCAAGAACCAGACAGGAACCAUCACACUCGUGCCGCUCCCAGUAGCCAGGUGUGCAAUCAGGGUGGUGGAGGUGACCCAGCCAUAUCUUCUGACCCAGGUCUGGGCUCUUCGUGUCGAUUAACUCCACUGCAUUCUCUGUGGAGUCUUUUAGUCAUUUCAGGAUCAGUUCAAGACACCUACAAGAAAGCUUAAUGAAAAAGAGAACAAGACAUGUGGACAGCUAGAGAGGUUCAGGCUGUACUGUGCCAUGUGUGGCGACAACAAUGACAAUGAAGAAAGCUCCCAGUCUUCCAACUCCCAAGUGGCUACUGUUUUCAGCUGGGGCUGAGAGACGUCAUGCAUCAUCAUCUGUGAACCUCCAGGCUCUUCACAUGUGUAAACCCAAUCUAUGUGUGACGCUUUAGACGCCUUCAGCAAUGCUCUGCAUGCUGUUCCCCCUAAUUGUUCCUUUGUCUGUGUUUACAAAAUGUUUGUUUGCUUGGUCGUCUUUGGCUUUGUUGUUCAAAGCUUUCUAUAGAUAAUGGAUUUGUGUGUUUGAUGUGAGCCCCCCAAGCUGAACAGAUUCCUAAUUUAUUUCGUUCUGGCUUUCAUUAAUAGACCGUGGAUUUGGUUUCUGCAAAAGCAUCAGAACAGUCCAAUAGGAUUUGAUGCACACAUCAAGCACUACUAAAUACAAGCAGAGCGAAAAAAGAAAAGCAUUACACUGUCUAAAUAUGCUUUCAUUUUUCCAAGUCAGUUUUGUACUAUUAAUUUAUAGCCUGCCCUACACAGUUUUCCUAGGUAAGAUGAAAACUAUUUUUAACAGGUCUCCGUAGGCCUGUAUUCAUGUUUUUGUCAUUUUGUUUUACAAUUUAAUAAGGAAACCUUACAAACAUAUAUCAAUAGUUUCCUUAACACUACAACAACAAGAACAUUAAAUAUCUGCUUUCUUUAUUAACCAGACUUAAGUCCUGUUUUUUGAUGGAAAUUA
Long non-coding RNA from Carassius gibelio (silver crucian carp), 1031 nucleotides. RefSeq lists it as uncharacterized. The record is from RefSeq and is a predicted model, not a curated record. Lineage: Eukaryota; Metazoa; Chordata; Actinopteri; Cypriniformes; Cyprinidae. The transcript is spliced from 3 exons.